CUGGCGGCUGCUUAAAUGCAGUCGAACGGAGAUUCAGCAUUGGAUCUUAUUGGCAAUCGGGUGAGUAACGCGUAGGCAAUCUGCCUUCUAGAUGGGGACAACAUCCCGAAAGGGGUGCUAAUACCGAAUGUUGUAGUUGGUUCGCAUGGACUAGCUACUAAAGGUGGCCUCUGAAUAUGCUACCGCUAGAAGAUGAGCCUGCGUCUGAUUAGCUAGUUGGAGGGGUAACGGCCCACCAAGGCUUCGAUCAGUAGCCGGUCUGAGAGGAUGAACGGCCACACUGGGACUGAGACACGGCCCAGACUCCUACGGGAGGCAGCAGUGGGGAAUCUUCCGCAAUGGACGAAAGUCUGACGGAGCAACGCCGCGUGAGUGAAGAAGGUUUUCGGAUCGUAAAGCUCUUUCGUUAGGGACGAACGUGCUCUUUGUGAAUAAUGAGGAGUAAUGACGGUACCUAAAUAAGAAGCCACGGCUAACUACGUGCCAGCAGCCGCGGUAAUACGUAGGUGGCAAGCGUUGUCCGGAAUUAUUGGGCGUAAAGCGCGCGCAGGCGGGAUAUCAAGUCUGUCUUAAAAGUGCGAGGCUCAACCUCGUGAGGGGACGGAAACUGGUAUUCUUGAGUGUCGGAGAGGAAAGUGGAAUUCCAAGUGUAGCGGUGAAAUGCGUAGAGAUUUGGAAGACACCAGUGGCGAAGGCGACUUUCUGGACGAUGUCUGACGCUGAGGCGCGAAAGCUAGGGGAGCGAACGGGAUUAGAUACCCCGGUAGUCCUAGCCGUAUACGAUGGGUACUAGGUGUAGGGGUAUCGACCCCUCUGUGCC
RNAcentral lists this ribosomal RNA (820 nucleotides) under uncultured Anaerovibrio sp. Its description in RNAcentral is "bacterial SSU rRNA". It matches the Rfam family "Bacterial small subunit ribosomal RNA", at positions 36 to 847 of the family's 1533-position model. Lineage: Bacteria; Bacillati; Bacillota; Negativicutes; Selenomonadales; Selenomonadaceae. The record is from RNAcentral.